This 510-nucleotide ribosomal RNA is filed under the name uncultured bacterium. RNAcentral describes it as "partial 16S ribosomal RNA". It matches the Rfam family "Bacterial small subunit ribosomal RNA", at positions 28 to 507 of the family's 1533-position model. The record is from RNAcentral.
GACGAACGCUGGCGGCGUGCUUAACACAUGCAAGUCGAACGAAGAGCGAUGGAAGCUUGCUUCUCUCAAUCUUAGUGGCGAACGGGUGAGUAACGCGUAAUCAACCUGCCCUUCAGAGGGGGACAACAGUUGGAAACGACUGCUAAUACCGCAUACGAUCUAACCUCGGCAUCGAGGAUAGAUGAAAGGUGGCCUCUACAUGUAAGCUCUCACUGAAGGAGGGGAUUGCGUCUGAUUAGCUAGUUGGAGGGGUAACGGCCCACCAAGGCGAUGAUCAGUAGCCGGUCUGAGAGGAUGAACGGCCACAUUGGGACUGAGACACGGCCCAGACUCCUACGGGAGGCAGCAGUGGGGAAUCUUCCGCAAUGGACGAAAGUCUGACGGAGCAACGCCGCGUGAGUGAUGACGGCCUUCGGGUUGUAAAGCUCUGUUAAUCGGGACGAAAGGCCUUCUUGCGAAUAGUUAGAAGGAUUGACGGUACCGGAAUAGAAAGCCACGGCUAACUACGUG